Non-coding RNA from Ictidomys tridecemlineatus (thirteen-lined ground squirrel), 406 nucleotides. NCBI's taxonomy places the organism in Eukaryota, Metazoa, Chordata, Mammalia, Rodentia, Sciuridae. The record is from RefSeq and is a predicted model, not a curated record.
CUCCAGCACCAAAGGGAAGAGUUAUGCUGCCUCGUCCAGGGAUUCCCAUCACCCUGGGCUGUGCAGCCUGUGCCGCUGCACUGGUGGCUUCAGCUCACACUUGGAAGAUGUAAGGAACAGGAUGCUUUCCCACACGCAAGAGGGGAGCGUGGUGACUGUGGACUUGAUGGAGCAGCCAGCGUGGAAGAUGGUCCUCCCUCUUCCUAGGUGCAUAUCCUUGGAAGCCUCAGUUUCCUCACCCAUAUAUGAUGCGCUCCCUCCCUCCUUGCUUUGUGAGGUUCGAAUUUGUUGAGAUCCGGCGGAUGAAAGCCUUAUGGAAACUAAGAUUUGCUAGAGGGAUGUACUCUAUUACUGUUCCUCCUGAGGAAACCCUGGUGUUAAAAAUGACCUUCAAAUUCUCUGACAA